RNAcentral lists this long non-coding RNA (302 nucleotides) under Elaeis guineensis (African oil palm). RNAcentral's name for it is "long non-coding RNA (EGUI_LNC057373)". The record is from RNAcentral. Lineage: Eukaryota; Viridiplantae; Streptophyta; Magnoliopsida; Arecales; Arecaceae.
UAAGUUUUCUGAGAGUAUCUCAUCUAAAACUUCUCCUACUUUUCAUCUUUGGAAGAGUCCAAAUCAAGAAGAAGGAGGCAUCUGAUCAACCAUCGAAGAAGGAUCAGCGCAGUACUAGCAUACUAUGCUGAUUUCCUGGACCAGAACUUCUGAUCGUGAUUCAUGGGCUUGUGUGGAUGACUCCUAGAGGUCGGACGCAUGUGCGGCUUGCAACAUCAUCUUCAAGCCUAAAUAAGCAAAGUUAGAAUGUCUAACUUGCAAGGUAAUAGAUCUGAUCUAUUAUAUUUUACAUACAUUAGAUG